GUGCUCACUUUUUGCAGCACAUAUACUAAAAUAGGAAUGAAGCAGAGAAGAUUAACAUGGCAUCUGCUCAAAGAUGAAAUGCAAAUUCAUGAAGCAUUGUAUAUUUUU
This is a small nuclear RNA of Gracilinanus agilis (Agile Gracile Mouse Opossum), 108 nucleotides long. The record is from RefSeq and is a predicted model, not a curated record. NCBI's taxonomy places the organism in Eukaryota, Metazoa, Chordata, Mammalia, Didelphimorphia, Didelphidae.